Molecule: transfer RNA, 22 nt
Filed under: Escherichia coli
Lineage: Bacteria; Pseudomonadati; Pseudomonadota; Gammaproteobacteria; Enterobacterales; Enterobacteriaceae
Description: transfer RNA-Phe
Source: RNAcentral
UGGUGCCGGACUCGGAAUCGAA